Molecule: long non-coding RNA, 449 nt
Filed under: Gossypium barbadense (sea-island cotton)
Lineage: Eukaryota; Viridiplantae; Streptophyta; Magnoliopsida; Malvales; Malvaceae
Description: long non-coding RNA (GBAR_LNC017487)
Source: RNAcentral
UCCUGUAUUGUUUUUGAAAAGUAGAACCUGUCUUUCAUUCCCCUUGAGAAACUCCACUAAUAUUGAACAUUCGUCUGCGUUCUUUUGGCUGCUGCUUGCUUCCAGAAGAUGGAACUGAAUCUCUCUCAACCGCUACCCCUGGCGAUUCAACAGAAAUUGAUGAUACGGACCAAGAGAAGCACUUGCUCUCACCAAAAGACGGAAAUUCCGAUAUAGCUUUCAUCAAAGAAGCUCAAUCGUGAUUGCGAGACAGCCUUCACCAAAUUGGAAGCAGAUGUUCUUGUUAGUUGUUAAGACCAUGAAUGCAUGCCAUUUUGUUUCGACGUAUGUAAUUAUUUCUCCAUUUUUGGUGUCGUUCAUUUUUUACCCAUGGUUAUUUGUUUGGAGAAGAAGAAUUUGGCAUUUGAAACAUAAUUUGUUGUUAAUGCUUUUGUACGAGUGAUUGCAUU